This 253-nucleotide ribosomal RNA is filed under the name uncultured bacterium. RNAcentral's name for it is "partial 16S ribosomal RNA". It matches the Rfam family "Bacterial small subunit ribosomal RNA", at positions 524 to 776 of the family's 1533-position model. The record is from RNAcentral.
UACAGAGGUCCCAAGCGUUGUUCGGAUUCACUGGGCGUAAAGGGUGCGUAGGCGGUUGGGUAAGUCUGACGUGAAAUCUCCGAGCCUAACUCGGAAACUGCGUCGGAUACUAUUCAACUUGAGGAAUGGAGGGGAGACUGGAAUUCUCGGUGUAGCAGUGAAAUGCGUAGAUAUCGAGAGGAACACCAGUGGCGAAGGCGAGUCUCUGGACAUUUCCUGACGCUGAGGCACGAAAGCCAGGGGAGCAAACGGG